UGAGGAACAUGACCUUCGGCGGGGGAGUAGCCGGCCCAACGGCCGGGUAAUACCGCGUACGACCACUUUGGGACAUCCCUGAGUGGUGAAAGCAGCAAUGCGCCGAUGGAGUGCCUCGCGGCCUAUCAGCUAGUUGGUGAGGUAACGGCUCACCAAGGCAACGACGGGUAGCUGGUCUGAGAGGAUGGCCAGCCACAUUGGGACUGAGACACGGCCCAGACUCCGUAGGGACGG
RNAcentral lists this ribosomal RNA (234 nucleotides) under uncultured bacterium. Its description in RNAcentral is "partial 16S ribosomal RNA". It matches the Rfam family "Bacterial small subunit ribosomal RNA", at positions 118 to 348 of the family's 1533-position model. The record is from RNAcentral.